Molecule: transfer RNA, 58 nt
Filed under: Paenibacillus methanolicus
Lineage: Bacteria; Bacillati; Bacillota; Bacilli; Caryophanales; Paenibacillaceae
Description: Paenibacillus sp. BL24 tRNA
Rfam family: tRNA
About the family: Transfer RNA (tRNA) molecules are approximately 80 nucleotides in length. Their secondary structure includes four short double-helical elements and three loops (D, anti-codon, and T loops).
Source: Rfam by way of RNAcentral
UAGCUCAGCUGGGAGAGUGCCUGCCUUGCAAGCAGGAGGUCAGCGGUUUGAACCCGCU